This is a non-coding RNA of Triticum urartu, 1223 nucleotides long. NCBI's taxonomy places the organism in Eukaryota, Viridiplantae, Streptophyta, Magnoliopsida, Poales, Poaceae. The record is from RefSeq and is a predicted model, not a curated record.
GCUAGGGUUAGGUCUCCCGGCUCCCUUCGGGAAGCCGAGCAAAUAAUGAUUGCUUCUUGCUUGAUUACAUUGAUACAUCUCCUCUUCUUAUAUAGAGAGGUUUACUUGACUCCUAAGCAAACAAUCCUAAUAACAUAAGAUAAUUGGGCUAAGUCCUUAAUAACGAUAAGAUAACUUGGGUCACAACCCACUAGGCUAAGCCCCUAAUAUGCCGGUCAUAACACCCUAAAAUUGGAUUAUGUUGUCUGCAAUGCCACCACUAAGAAAUGGGUGUCCGUGCCUGCCACCGACUGGUCCAGCAAGGUGGGCGUCGCUCGCCUCGGAUUUGACCCGGCCAUUACUUCCCACUUCCGUGUAUUCGAGUUCAUAGAUGAGGAGGCGUUGGGUAUAUCCGAGGACAAGCAAAACGACGAGUUGUAUUGAUGCAUCCACACACUAGCAAUUUACUCGUCCAAAGCUGGAGUUUGGAAAUAUCAAACAGUUGAGCAUGGACCAUUUGCGAUACCCAAGAAUUCACCUGGCUCAUUUUUAAACGGGAUCCUUAAUUUGGCUGCCUAUAAUAAUUUAAUUGUAGCUGUUGAUGUGGAAGGAGAUAAUUGGUCACUUGUUCAUAUUCCUAAGCCACCGUACUAUGCUGAUGAUAUCAAUGGCAUAUUUCCAUCACAGGGACAGUUGUAUUUUGCAAAUAGUCCUGCUGAUUCUGAUGGUUCUGAAUUGUCAAUCUGGGUUCUUGACGACUUCGUUACAGGAAAAUGGAGUUUGAAACACAAUCUGUGUUUUAUAUGUCAACUUGGAUCUGAGUGUAGAGCUGAAUUGCCUGGCUGUGGUGACAAGACUCUUUUUUAUCCACACGUUCCCUUGUUCUCAGAGUCAUUGGCAGAUAUGGACUAAAUGUCUAUGCAACGCUGUUUUUUUUGUGAACAUGGUUCUGAAUGUGAGGUUUGAUGGCUUGGCUGCUGCACACUGCAGAUUCAUAACUGUCCAUGUUUCUGACACUAUUGAAGUUAAGUCUGGAAUCUGGGUAGCGGUAACUGGCGUAGACAUUUAUCAAGUUGUGAGAGUAUAUGUUGGUGCUUGAGCACCCUCAUGUCCUGAAUAUUGCAGUUAACUUAGUGACUGAACUUGUGUUUGUAUAAUUGUAUAUAUUCAUGGCUGUUACAGCCAAUAAAGUUGUAACACCCUGCUACUUUAAUCAUGGAUAUAAUGAUCAUUUUGUUGAACCA